RNAcentral lists this small nucleolar RNA (214 nucleotides) under Pelusios castaneus (West African mud turtle). RNAcentral's name for it is "Small nucleolar RNA U3 (ENSPCEG00000000976.1)". It matches the Rfam family "Small nucleolar RNA U3". Rfam says of the family: Small nucleolar RNAs (snoRNAs) are involved in the processing and modification of rRNA in the nucleolus. There are two main classes of snoRNAs: the box C/D class, and the box H/ACA class. U3 snoRNA is a member of the box C/D class. The record is from Rfam by way of RNAcentral. Lineage: Eukaryota; Metazoa; Chordata; Testudines; Pelomedusidae.
AAGACUGUGCUUUCAGGGAUCAUUUCUAUAGUUGGUGAUUAGAGAAGGAUGUGUGUGAAAAGCUGGUCUUGCUAACCAUGAUGAAGAAUUAUAGUGUUUUCUUCUGAGUAUGAUAGUAGCAGACAGUGUGGGUCUGUGCUAGUUACUUUCUGCUGUGGAUGAUUGUUCUCUUUUUCCUGGGAAAAGCAGGGGAAGGAACCACAAGCUGAGUGGU